CUCCAAUGGGUGUGCACAGAGGCUAUGUUAAGCUUCUUCCAUAUGGUUUUGCCGGGAUAAUGGAAAAAUCAGGGGAGAAUAGUUGUGGGGAUUUGAGUUUUAUCAAGAAUAUUGGUGGGUUUGAUUUUGGGGAAGGUAUUAGAUUUGAGCCAUCAAAGCUUAUUCCGAAGUUUCAGAGACAGGCUGAUGAGAUGAAUCUCUUCUGCUUCAAGGCUACAACACCGUUUUGGAUGCAGAAAGCCCCGGCUUGCUUCGGUUGAUACUUUCUAGUCUGAAAAAUUUGCACUUCUCAUGGACACAAUGGCAAUGGCAAUGGCGUUUAAGAUGCUUUCUCUUUUGCUCCUCUGCGGAUGCUUCUUUUCCAACUCCUUUGUCAUCGAAGAAGCCAACAUCAAGGACAUCCAAUGGACAUUCUCUCAAAACAAGCUCGUGUCCAGACAGCUCGUUGACUUCUACUUGCACCAGAUCGAGGCCCUGAAUCCAGAGCUUUGCAACGUCAUAGAGGUGAACCCAGAUGCACGAGAGCAAACGGACAAGGCCAAUGCAGAGAUUAAAAGCAAUAAGGAGUUGGGGGAGCUGCAUGGGGUACUUGUGUGUUGAGAUAUUAGGAAUGCUUUCCUUAUAUCAUUCUUUCCUUAUAUCAUUUAGUGUUGAGAUAUUAGGAAUGUUUAGAUAUUAGGAAAGUUGAGAUAUUAUGAAUAUUGAGAUAUUAGGAAUAUUGAGAUACUAGGAAUAUUGAGAUAUUAGGAAAGUUGAGAUAUUAGGAUAUUAGUUGUUAUUUCCUUAUAUCAUUCUUUCCUUGUAUCAUUCUUUCUCAUUCUUAGAAUGGUGAUUACCCUCUAUAUAUACUCUGUACAUGAACGAAUGAAAGUAUGAAUGAAAAAAACUACCAUUUAUCAA
This is a long non-coding RNA of Vitis vinifera (wine grape), 900 nucleotides long. RefSeq lists it as uncharacterized. The record is from RefSeq and is a predicted model, not a curated record. The transcript is spliced from 2 exons. NCBI's taxonomy places the organism in Eukaryota, Viridiplantae, Streptophyta, Magnoliopsida, Vitales, Vitaceae.